Gossypium raimondii (Peruvian cotton) is the source of this 2159-nucleotide long non-coding RNA. RefSeq lists it as uncharacterized. The record is from RefSeq and is a predicted model, not a curated record. The transcript is spliced from 6 exons. NCBI's taxonomy places the organism in Eukaryota, Viridiplantae, Streptophyta, Magnoliopsida, Malvales, Malvaceae.
CCCCCUCUUAUAGUUAAAAAAACUCUCAUUUUUUAACCAAAUCCAAACCCUAAACUGCGCCUCUCCUAAUUUCUUCUUCACUUUGAGGUUUUCUUGCAAGAGUUGAGAGGUGAGACCAAGUAAUUUUGGAUUACAACAGAGAAACCAAAGUAACGAAAAAGAUGGAUAUAUAUGGGAUCUUGGGUAACCGAGAUUCGAAGCUAGGCAAAUCAAGCAUACCCAGGAGACGACAAUAAGCUCAAGACCCUUUUUACCCUUUUGCCUUCUUCUCUUACACUCUUUUUUCGAUUCAAUAGUUAAAUUUAUAGCUGGAAAAGAGAAUCGAUUCAAAUUUUUCAACAAAUUCAUGAUUUUUACAGAAAAUUUUAUUUAAAGUUCUCUCUUUUUCCCCUUUUUACCUCAUUUUCUUUUUCUGUGUUUUGAGAUAUUAUAACAAGAAUAACAAUAAUUUGUCAUAGUAGAGAUAAAAUUUGGGUUCGUGUUUGAUUGAUCGAUCUGUUGAUGGAGGAUUCUGCGAGCAGAGAUGAAGAUUACUACUAUUCUUCCAAUCGAGAUUCCCUCGACAGUCUCGAGAAUGAGGAUUCUAAUUUACAGUGGGCCCCUUCAAAGGGUCCCACUACCAAGGCAGAGGAGCUGCUAGUUGUUGAAUUUGAUCGAUUCUUUUUCCCUUUUUAUCUCAAAAUUUGCCCCCAAAUUUCCCAUUUCCAGCAACACCAAGUCAAUACACCUACGACAAUCACACUUCUUUUUCAUUUAUGUUUUACGAAGUCUCAUUCGAAUGUCUCUACUGGUACUCAAAAGACUCCCAUUAUCCAUAUUGACAUGGAGCCAUCCUGAAUUAAAUGACAAGCCUGUAGCUGUAUGCCAUUCAGACAAUCCAAAAGGAACUGCUGAAAUCUCUUCUGCAAAUUAUCCUGCUCGAGAUUAUGGAUAGGAGCAAAUGGUUUGGAGAACUCCGUUGGGAAGAAAGUUUGCGGGAUGCACACGAGUUUGGAAAACUUAUUCUGUUUCAGAACUUGGAUCUAGCUUACUCUUCAGCAGAAGUGGAGCCUUUGCAGAUGUGGAGGAGGUAGAACCUUGGCUUCGAUUGGACGAAUCUUCUGAGGUUUUCUAUUUACAUCUGACACAGGUGUUAGAUUAUCAGAAUUGACUAAGUUAGGAUUUACCUUGUUAGAAUUUUCGAAAUUCAACUUCUAUAGAGCAAAAAUUUCAACUUCCGGUUGAACUCUCUCCUCUUCUAUAGGCUUAUUCUCAACCUCAACCACCUUAAGCUCCAAAGUCUUCUCACUUCGUAAAAUGACCGCUUUGCAAUGCUCUUUACUAGGAUUUCUUAGAAUCUUCGUAUUACUUAAAAAAGCUCCUUAUGGUCUAACCCAGAGUUUAGUAGCCAAUUAGCCCAUUUGAUACUCCAAAUUCCUCAAGUUGACAUAAUUCUUUACCAUAUAUUCCUUCAACAAGCUCUCUAAAUUAUUGGAAGAUUUAGCUUGUGGUGGUUUUUUAAACUUUCUAGGCAAAUCCAAGUGGUUGAUUUAAUCUAGCUGCAUAUAGGUGUUACUAGGUCCAGUUCCUUGGUUAUUUUAAGAAAAGUUUGGAUGGUUUCGCCAUGAAGGGUUAUAGAAAUUAGACUAUGGUCCUUGCUUAUUUUUGUUCUGGUUCUGAUUACCCCUGUAAUAAAUGAACUUAGGGUUUGAUGAGCAAUUUUCAAACCGAUGUUCAUCCCCAAAAUACACAUAGAAAAUGGGUUCAAAUUGACUUGGUGGCUAUAGUGUAACACUAUUAAGACCAUUAGUAGUAAAUCUUUUAAGCAUUGAAAAGAUAGAUGAUACUUGAGCUUCUAGUGAAGUGAAUGCAUCAACUUCAUGAACUCAUGUUACUUGUCUUCCUGAAGUUGCUCGAUUGGUUGACUAUUGGUAAUUGUUGUAUGUAAUUCUCUCAAUAAUUUCAUAAGCCUCAUUAUAAGAAUUAGAAAUGAGAGCAACAUUUGCAGACGCAUCUACUGCCGUCCUCGUAUGUGCAUUGAGACCAUUAUAGAACGUCUUCAGCUAAAUGCAGUGUGGAAUCCCUGUUAGAGUAUGCCCAAAGAUCAAUCAUGAGAUGGUUGUAAUAACAUACUUGAUUUAUCAUGUUUAUUAAUAUAAGGCGUUACCAUUAUUAUUUCA